CCCCGAUCAGGCAGUUGCAUUUAUCAUGGUCUAUGAGGAUGGCAAAGGGUCUGUGGCCGCUGACCCGAGGGGAUAGGAACAAGCAGUUUGAGACUCAAGGCAGCCUGAAACCCCAAUGCUAUCCUUCUCCUGGUCCAUCCUCAGGCAUCUCCCUAAAGCAACUCAAGCUCCUCCUGCCUUGCACUGCAGUGGAAGGCGCCUGUUCCUCAGCUCAGAACAGAUCCCUGUUGAGUCUAUGGAGCAUCUUCUCCAUGCUGGGUAUUCUUCAAGCCUUGAAGACCAGUCUCCACAUCCCCCAAGCAGACCGCUCCACCCCCAUAGCUGAGACAAGGUGUCCCUUCACACCGCUGGAGGCAUCGCCUUUGGCCUGCGCCAGCAGCCACCCAGCAACGCCUAGGGGUCCGCCUGAGCGAAGCAAGAACUUGGACACUUUAGCAAACUCUCCCCCUUUUUCUUCUUCCUCCACCGUUUUCUGGCUCAGAAACUGCACUAGGUGGCCCCCCAGGUCACUCCUUGGGUAGCAGACAGCUACCCGACAGAAGAUACAUUACUGGGCUGCUCCUGGAGAAGACCAAAACCCUGUCAAGAAGUGGAAGAAUAUACUGACACUAGAAGAAAAAAGGCUUUCCGAGACAGACAAUAUUAUGUAUAAAGCUCUACAGUUUCCUUCAUCCUGCACACAGCGGUGGCCCUGUGUGUCGUUUCACUCCUCAGCUUCACACUUGGCAUGCUUCGGGAAAGCCUCGUGCCCCAAGCUCUCCACGCAGCAGCUCUCACAAAGACUCAGUUUGCCCCAACAAUUCCCUCAGCCCCAGACUCCAAGCUGAAUGUUCCCCAACUACCCAUCUAGUGGAGGAACCAGUCCACUUUGGCCAAAUGUCCCCAAACCACACACCUUCUAAAUAUCUAGAGGUUUCCUGGGCUAGACCUUAAAUCAGAAAAUGCUCGAAACUGAUGCAUCAUUCCAUCAUCACCACCAGCACUUCUUCCUCCAUCACACACCUCUCCUCCUCUCCUGCCCCAGCCUCGAGACACAUGCUGCUCUUCCUCACUGGGAUCUCAACCACACGCAUACGCAGCAUGUUCAAGGGGCUUUCAACCAGCUGCUUCUCAGACAUAAGUCAGCCAUAUUGUUGUCUGCUUGUAAGACAGGAAUAGAUAAUGGAAGGGGCAGGGGUGCAAAAUAAGAGCUUGACACGUUUGAGAGAAGAAUCAGCAUGCUGGGGAGGAAUGUACUAGGGUAUCUAGUUCCUGGUAAGUAGCCCCCUGGAAACAGCCAGGAGGAAAGGCAAGGCCUGGCCUCCAUUCAGUCACUCACUCCUUGUUCCAGUGCUACCUCCCUCCUUGGGAUGAGGCUCGUGGCUUUGGCUGGGCAGAGCUGGCCCCACACUUUCCUCAGACAGCAAGCUGGAACUGAGCAGCAGCAAAGCUCUGGGUCCCAGACUCUCUGCAAGACAGAAAAGCCUGCUCAGCCCUAGGUUUGGAUACUGAGUGGCCACCUCCUGACCUGCUCUCUCCUCUCAGCACUGAACACCAUCCUGUCCAUCCCUGAGCACAGAGGGAAAAUGUCCACGUCAGGGUCUUCAGCCAACACCAAAUCCCCAGGGGAAAGGCUGCAGCCAACGUAGGCGCAGCACCAGCGGCUGCCCGUUUACAUUACCAGAGCCGCUAAAGGCACAUGUGCUCAGAUGGACAGCCUGGGGUCAGAACCCAGCUCCGCACGCUCACCGUUUGACCGUGGACAAGAUGUUGUGGCCCGCAUCUUUAAAAU
Equus caballus (horse) is the source of this 1771-nucleotide long non-coding RNA. The record is from Ensembl. Lineage: Eukaryota; Metazoa; Chordata; Mammalia; Perissodactyla; Equidae.